UCUUUUGCUUUUAAAUUUAAAUUUCAUAAAAAUAAGUUAAUUAUCCUACAUUGAGUGAAGAGAUAAAAUAUAUAAUUAUCUAAAUGUAAUUAAGUGAAGAGAUAAAAUAUAUAAUUGUCUAAAUGUAUAAUGGCUUGAAAAUCUAUUACGAUAUAACUAAAAUAAAUAAAUAAGAUAUUUUAUUUACUAGAAAUCAAAAGGGGGAGGAGCGCAAAGUGCCCACUUUUAUUUGAAAUUAAUUAAAAAAAAAAAAUUUGAUAUGCCAUAUCCAAAAUAGUUAAAGCCGAUUUUCGAGUUUAGCAAUAAUAAGCCCAUCUACCGCGAAAUCUAUAUUUUAUUAAUCCGAUAUUACUAAUUAAUUAAAACUAAUUUGAUUCUAAAGGAAAAUGGUCUUCUAAUAAUUAGGUCAUCAAACUCCAAGAGAUAUAUUUUUUCCUAUCAAAUUUUAACCUUUGACAAUAUAGAUUAAAUGCCGAAGUCUAGUGAUUAUGCUAAUUUUAACAUCUAAGAGGCAAAAAAGAACGAAAAAAUUUACUAUUCAUUUAGAAGAACUAAACAAGUUUAAACAAACAUAAAUUCUAAAUGAAAAUGUGCGAUGUUUCUAAAGAGAUAGCGACAUAUGUAAUAAUACAAAGAAAACAAAAUGCUUAGGAGGGAAAAGAGACGUGUAAUAAUACAAAGAAAACAAAAUGCUUAGGAGGGAAAAGAGGCACUAGACUGCUAGACGAAAACAUGUAAUGCAUCCACUAUCGCUUCUCCGAUUUGAAGAGAGAUGGAGUCGGUCCACGAGACUCCAACGCGCUCUCGAGUUCACAUGAGAUAGAAAAGAUGGGGAUUAGACACAUAUUCGACUUUAUAAGAGAUACAAAGUGAAUUACGAACUCUUGUUGAAGUAAAAAAAAAAAAAAUCAUUUCAGUACAUGGCAAAAGGGACUUGACUUUUAAAACUAAUCAAUAAAGACGCCAAUAAUGGGAUCCAGAACUCAGAUAGACUAAUAAGACGUAAAUAAUGGCAAGAAAUUUACAAAUACAAGUUAGUAAGGGGGCAUAUUUCUAAUUCUAAUGCUCAUUCCUUACUUUUAGUAACAACUAGAUGACAACUCAAAUUGUAUUAGCCUCAUGUCAUAGGAAAUAAGACAAGAACAGAGGAGCAAAAGUUUCACAGGAAACAAAAUAAUUUAGAGAUUAAGAACUGAGUUAAUGAUGCAAUAAAAAAAGAUACGGAAACAUAUGGCACACUUCAAUCAAAAAUAUGAGAGAUUUGGUUAAAUUUUCCCUAACACAAGAUUUUUCUUUUUUUACCAUUUAUGUAUGCGCGACUUACGAAAAUCAACUACCAUAACGAAGGAUCAACUCGCAUGAAAAGAAAAGAAAACCAAUAACGAUACAAAUGCUCAAGUUCAAACACACCUACUCUGUUAGAAGAAGGGGCAACCAAAGAAUUAAAAUUUUGUUUCUUUUAGAAGCGAAUUCACUAAUUAUUAUUAUUACAAAACAAUAGCUGCACGUAGUAACAUACGAGUAAUGAAUAAGGGAAGGCGGGAUGGUUCAUGCAUAAUCUUAGGACUAGAAUAACCCAGAUAUUCACAAAAUCAUACUGGACGAAGGAGAAAGAGGUGCAAACACGUCAUUUCGGCUUAGAACUACUUUACCAGGAGCAUGAAAUUAAAGCGCUUUUUUGUUAUAUGGAAAAGGGUGAUAAAUACUACUAUUGAGAGAAGAAACGGAAACGUCCGCCGAAUUUUCUUUAGAUCUUAGGACAUUUGAAUGGUUAUCAUGCUCAAGAUAUAUGUUUUAAAAGCCAAGGCAGUAGAUGAUUCAAAAUAAUUUUAUUUUAUCAAGAACGACACUGACUUUUGAAAUAGACAUGCCAAUACAACUACAACCGUUUGAACACAAGAAUACCUCACAUAUGACUCGGCAUUAUGCAACCUUUCUUCGUAUCACAGAAAAGUAGCCAAAUUGCUUCAGACGACAUUAAUAAAUGCAAGCAGAGAACAAACGAGCAUGGAUGGCAAAACAUAGACUGUCAUAAUCAACUGGUAAAGUAACUCUUUAAAUCUACAAUCAUUCGAGGCAAGAAUCUGAGUCCAAAAAGUAAAGAAAUGCCAAGAUAGAAACAAAAUCAUGUUUUUAUUAUUUAAAUGAUAACCAAAAAAAUAAAGAAGAAGACUCGACCCAUGUAGAUUUGCGAACAUAACAAAAACCUCAACUCAAUCAUAUCAAGUAUGCAAAGAGAGACCAAAAUAACUAAUUUAGGCCGGCUAAUGGUAAAAUAGCUUUUAUGAUCUUGAACUGCAUGCAUCUAGAUAGUCAAAUCGAACUCCAUUUUCCUUUUGUGUCAAACUUGGGAUUCUAGACCAACUCCACCAAACAAAGCAAAGAGAGACGAAUCCCAUCGAAGAACUUAGCUUUGUUUCACGUGAUGUAGUAAUCUAAACGAAAUAACAUGUAGAGUUCUUAACAAAUCAUCUUAUGUAUUUAUGUAAAAAAAAUGCUAGUACAAAUUAUAAGGUCGAUUAAACCUUACAGACACAUAUCAGAAUAAUAAAUGGUCCAACCAACAGGAAACCAUAACUGGAAACCCGUGGGAAAACAAAAAAAAACUAAAAAUGAACCUGCAAUGUACAGAACAUAAACUAAAAUGAACUAAGGCUAGUUGUGUCUCAUGCAGCAAAAUCAACCAAUUAACAUCUCAACUAGGACUCGAUAAACGAUUUUAUUCCAAAUUUUCAUUCAUAACCAGCCAACAAAACAACCGACUCCAAUUCAUUUCUUAUUUAUGUUCAUAAUUAGCCAAACGAGAAAGACAAACUCAGACCCAAUUUGCAGUUAACAAACGACAAACCAUCACAAUUAAAAUUGAAACCAACAGAUUACACAUUAACCCUUAAUUUUACGCUGGUACUUUCGUACCCAUAAUAACUUCAGCAAAAAAUCAAAAUUUAUAUUCUAUCCACAGAGGCGACAAAGGGCAACAUAUCAACAAAAUUUAACAUUUUAAAAUUACACCAGAUAUUUCACAAACUGCAAAAAUCUAAAGGAAACGAAGACGGAGAUGAGUAAAGAGAGGCGGAUUCGCACCUUUUUGGGUUCAGCGAACAAGGACGACAAGUCGAAGAGCGAUUCCGCCACUAUCUUUGAUUACGAACUCGGCCGAUGAAAGAGAGUCAACGAGAGUGGUUGAAGUAAAUCAAAACAAAGGAAAAUAGAGCGAAGAAAGUAGAGAAAACAGUGAGUAAAGAGUGUGAUCAUAACCCUCCAAUUCCCUAAUUUCUCUCCCCUUUUUAUAGGCGAAAUUGGGUUGCUAACAGCUUCUUUUAGAAGCUUUGAAAAGUUUCAAAAAUUGAAUUUGAACAGUGACGGUUUGAAGGUAGUGAGGUUUGGAUCCGUAGAUUUAAGCCCGAUAGCCGUCGAAUCAAGAAAAAAAAAUACCUUAUAACUGAUGGAUAUUCAAUUUUCCCCUACUUUCAGAGACCACAGCCACAGGGUCUUGAAAUUUGUUUUGCUUCAGUUGAAAAUUGAAAUUUGCUGUUCGCUGUGUUGUUGAAAUUGUGGUCGUUGUUUGCAGCUGUUACGCUGUUCCUACGCGUAUGCUGACUGUUUUGUUGUUUAAAGAGGUGAAAGGGAUGGGCCGGGUCGGUUUAAAGGGUAGGGGCAUUGGGCUGGUGUUGGUUUGGGCCGCAGAUAUACUUCGUAAAUUGCAA
RNAcentral lists this long non-coding RNA (3707 nucleotides) under Capsicum annuum. RNAcentral describes it as "long non-coding RNA (CANN_LNC017648)". The record is from RNAcentral. Lineage: Eukaryota; Viridiplantae; Streptophyta; Magnoliopsida; Solanales; Solanaceae.